Molecule: ribosomal RNA, 405 nt
Filed under: Clostridium botulinum D/C
Lineage: Bacteria; Bacillati; Bacillota; Clostridia; Eubacteriales; Clostridiaceae
Description: bacterial SSU rRNA
Rfam family: Bacterial small subunit ribosomal RNA
Source: RNAcentral
UUAAAUUGAGAGUUUGAUCCUGGCUCAGGACGAACGCUGGCGGCGUGCCUAACACAUGCAAGUCGAGCGAUGAAACUUCCUUCGGGAAGUGGAUUAGCGGCAGACGGGUGAGUAACACGUGGGUAACCUGCCUCAAAGAGUGGGAUAGCCUCCCGAAAGGGAGAUUAAUACCGCAUAACAUUAUUUUAUGGCAUCAUAAAAUAAUCAAAGGAGCAAUCCGCUUUGAGAUGGACCCGCGGCGCAUUAGCUAGUUGGUGAGGUAACGGCUCACCAAGGCAACGAUGCGUAGCCGACCUGAGAGGGUGAUCGGCCACAUUGGAACUGAGACACGGUCCAGACUCCUACGGGAGGCAGCAGUGGGGAAUAUUGCGCAAUGGGGGAAACCCUGACGCAGCAACGCCGCGU